Molecule: non-coding RNA, 31 nt
Filed under: Mus musculus (house mouse)
Lineage: Eukaryota; Metazoa; Chordata; Mammalia; Rodentia; Muridae
Source: RNAcentral
UGCUUCAUUCUGAUGGAAAAUCAUUACCACC